CACGUAGGAGGCGAGCGUUGUCCGGAAUCAUUGGGCGUAAAGAGCGCGCAGGCGGCUUGGCAAGUCGGUUGUGAAAUCCCGGGGCUCAACCCCGGGACUGCAUCCGAUACUGUCAGGCUAGAGGUAGGUAGGGGAGAUCGGAAUUCCUGGUGUAGCGGUGAAAUGCGCAGAUAUCAGGAGGAACACCGGUGGCGAAGGCGGAUCUCUGGGCCUUACCUGACGCUCAGGCGCGAAAGCUAGGGGAGCGAACAGG
This 253-nucleotide ribosomal RNA is filed under the name uncultured prokaryote. RNAcentral's name for it is "partial 16S ribosomal RNA". It matches the Rfam family "Bacterial small subunit ribosomal RNA", at positions 524 to 776 of the family's 1533-position model. The record is from RNAcentral.